This 465-nucleotide ribosomal RNA is filed under the name Vreelandella stevensii. RNAcentral's name for it is "partial 16S ribosomal RNA". It matches the Rfam family "Bacterial small subunit ribosomal RNA", at positions 338 to 795 of the family's 1533-position model. The record is from RNAcentral. Lineage: Bacteria; Pseudomonadati; Pseudomonadota; Gammaproteobacteria; Oceanospirillales; Halomonadaceae.
CCUACGGGGCGCAGCAGUGGGGAAUAUUGGACAAUGGGCGAAAGCCUGAUCCAGCCAUGCCGCGUGUGUGAAGAAGGCCUUCGGGUUGUAAAGCACUUUCAGUGGGGAAGAAAGCCUUGGGGCUAAUACCCUCGAGGAAGGACAUCACCCACAGAAGAAGCACCGGCUAACUCCGUGCCAGCAGCCGCGGUAAUACGGAGGGUGCGAGCGUUAAUCGGAAUUACUGGGCGUAAAGCGCGCGUAGGCGGUCUGAUAAGCCGGUUGUGAAAGCCCCGGGCUCAACCUGGGAACGGCAUCCGGAACUGUCAGGCUAGAGUGAAGGAGAGGAAGGUAGAAUUCCCGGUGUAGCGGUGAAAUGCGUAGAGAUCGGGAGGAAUACCAGUGGCGAAGGCGGCCUUCUGGACUGACACUGACGCUGAGGUGCGAAAGCGUGGGUAGCAAACAGGAUUAGAUACCCGAGUAGUC